AUGGGUUGCCAUGCCCUCCUCCAGGGGAUCUUCCUGACCCAGGGAUCCAACCAACGUCUCUUGUGUCUCCUACAUUGGCAGGCUGAUUCUUUACCACUAGUACCACCUGGAAAAGCUGUGUGUAGUUUGGGGAGCCCAGUCAUGACAUUUUUAUUACCACCACGAAGUUCCCUCAAUCCCAUUUGCAGUUACUCUUUCCUGCUGCCCCAAGCAUCAGGCAACCACUCUAAUAUAAUACUGUCAGUUCUAGAAAUUCAUAAACUGGAAUCAUACUGUGUAUGCUGGCUGUCUGGGGAGGCCUUACAAAUAGCUGUGAAAAGAAGAGAAGCGAAAAGCAAAGGAGAAAAGGAAAGAUAUAAACAUCUGAAUGCAGAGUUCCAAAGAAUAGCAAGAAGAGAUAAGAAAGCCUUCUUCAGCGAUCAAUGCAAAGAAAUAGAGGAAAACAACAGAAUGGGAAAGACUAGGGAUCUCUUCAAGAAAAUCAGAGAUACCAAAGGAACAUUUCAUGCAAAGAUGAGCUCGAUAAAGGACAGAAAUGGUAUGGACCUAACAGAAGCAGAAGAUAUUAAGAAGAGGUGGCAAGAAUACACAGAAGAACUAUACAAAAAAGAUCUUCACGACCCAGAUAAUCACGAUGGUGUGAUCACUGACCUAGAGCCAGACAUCCUGGAAUGUGAAGUCAAAUGGGCCUUAGAAAAUAUCACUAUGAACAAAGCUAGUGGAGGUGAUGGAAUUCCAGUUGAGCUAUUCCAAAUCCUGAAAGAUGAUGCUGUGAAAGUGCUGCACUCAACAUGCCAGCAAUUUUGGAAAACUCAGCAGAGGCCACAGGACUGGAAAAGGUCAGUUUUCAUUCCAAUCCCAAAGAAAGGCAAUGCCAAAGAAUGCUCAAACUACCACACAAUUGCACUCAUCUCACAUGCUAGUAAAGUAAUGCUCAAAAUUCUCCAAGCCAGGCUUCAGCAAUAUGUGAACCGUGAACUUCCUGAUGUUCAAGCUGGUUUUAGAAAAGGCAGAGGAACCAGAGAUCAAAUUGCCAACAUCUGCUGGAUCAUGGAAAAAGCAAGAGAGUUCCAGAAAAACAUCUAUUUCUGCUUUAUUGACUAUGCCAAAGCCUUUGACUGUGUGGAUCACAAUAAACUGGAAAAUUCUUCAAGAGAUGGGAAUACCAGACCACCUGAUCUGCCUCUUGAGAAAUUUGUAUUCAGGUCAGGAAGCAACAGUUAG
RNAcentral lists this long non-coding RNA (1224 nucleotides) under Bos indicus x Bos taurus (hybrid cattle). RNAcentral's name for it is "lncRNA (ENSBIXG00005019756.1)". The record is from RNAcentral. Lineage: Eukaryota; Metazoa; Chordata; Mammalia; Artiodactyla; Bovidae.